GAUGAACGCUGGCGGCGUGCCUAAUACAUGCAAGUCGAGCGAACGGACGAGAAGCUUGCUUCUCUGAUGUUAGCGGCGGACGGGUGAGUAACACGUGGAUAACCUACCUAUAAGACUGGGAUAACUUCGGGAAACCGUAGCUAAUACCGGAUAAUAUUUUGAACCGCAUGGUUCAAAAGUGAAAGACGGUCUUGCUGUCACUUAUAGAUGGAUCCGCGCUGCAUUAGCUAGUUGGUAAGGUAACGGCUUACCAAGGCAACGAUGCAUAGCCGACCUGAGAGGGUGAUCGGCCACACUGGAACUGAGACACGGUCCAGACUCCUCCGGGAGGCAGCAGUAGGGAAUCUUCCGCAAUGGGCGAAAGCCUGACGGAGCAACGCCGCGUGAGUGAUGAAGGUCUUCGGAUCGUAAAACUCUGUUAUUAGGGAAGAACAUAUGUGUAAGUAACUGUGCACAUCUUGACGGUACCUAAUCAGAAAGCCACGGCUAACUACGUG
This 497-nucleotide ribosomal RNA is filed under the name uncultured bacterium. Its description in RNAcentral is "partial 16S ribosomal RNA". It matches the Rfam family "Bacterial small subunit ribosomal RNA", at positions 28 to 507 of the family's 1533-position model. The record is from RNAcentral.